CUAUGGAUUGUAAACUGCUUUUAUACGAGAAGAAACACUGCUUCGUGAAGCAGCUUGACGGUAUCGUAAGAAUAAGGAUCGGCUAACUCCGUGCCAGCAGCCGCGGUAAUACGGAGGAUCCAAGCGUUAUCCGGAAUCAUUGGGUUUAAAGGGUCCGUAGGCGGUUUAAUAAGUCAGUGGUGAAAGCCCAUCGCUCAACGGUGGAACGGCCAUUGAUACUGUUAAACUUGAAUUAUUAGGAAGUAACUAGAAUAUGUAGUGUAGCGGUGAAAUGCUUAGAGAUUACAUGGAAUACCAAUUGCGAAGGCAGGUUACUACUAAUGGAUUGACGCUGAUGGACGAAAGCGUGGGUAGCGAACAGGAUUAGAUACCCUGGUAGUCCACGCCGUAAACGAUGGAUACUAGCUGUUGGAAGCAAUUUCAGUGGCUAAGCGAAAGUGAUAAGU
This 446-nucleotide ribosomal RNA is filed under the name Flavobacterium sp. Its description in RNAcentral is "bacterial SSU rRNA". It matches the Rfam family "Bacterial small subunit ribosomal RNA", at positions 416 to 865 of the family's 1533-position model. The record is from RNAcentral. Lineage: Bacteria; Pseudomonadati; Bacteroidota; Flavobacteriia; Flavobacteriales; Flavobacteriaceae.